CCGACCUUAGCUCAGUUGGUAGAGCGGAGGACUGUAGUACGUGCAGAUAAAUCCUUAGGUCGCUGGUUCGAAUCCGGCAGGUCGGA
This 86-nucleotide transfer RNA is filed under the name Oryza brachyantha (malo sina). It matches the Rfam family "tRNA". Rfam says of the family: Transfer RNA (tRNA) molecules are approximately 80 nucleotides in length. Their secondary structure includes four short double-helical elements and three loops (D, anti-codon, and T loops). Lineage: Eukaryota; Viridiplantae; Streptophyta; Magnoliopsida; Poales; Poaceae. The record is from Rfam by way of RNAcentral.